CUGCCUCUCCGUCCUCCAGCUCUCCAUCACUCCAUCUGUCUAACGAUGUCUUGAGGACACGUCGAAGCAGGUGAUCAUCAUGAGGUGGGCUUUGCAGAAGUUGACUCUGGUCUCCAGUUUGUCCGUCACGGUCUCCAGAGCUUGCAAAUACUCCAGUGAGUCGACUUCGUAGGCCUGCUGUAGCUCAACUGAACAUGGACAGACAGGCAGAGAUAUGAAGUCGCUCGACGUCAUCUAUCUCGUACACCUUGAUCUCGAAGGUUUCUGUCGUUGCCGUCGCGCCCCGGAGGUUUGAGGGAGUUGGGGGCCCCAGUGGGCCAUCUACCCAGCAUGCACCUGGGCUGGAGGAGGAGGAAGAAGAGGAAGUGAUGGUCUGUUUGGAGGAGCGGUGAGAAGGUGAGGAGGAGGAAGAGUCCAAGGUCAGUGCUGGGAUCAGACGACGACGCUGGAGGCCUGAAAGAACAAAUAAGAUGAAGACAAAAACAGUGUUUCACACCACCAGAGUGUUUCCAGACAUAGAAAUACAUUUGGUGAUAAAUACUGCACCCCUUCAACUCUCUUUCAUUUAUUAAGUAUUAUCACUGCUCCAUACAUGUAUAAAACAAAUUACACAAAAUAGGUAUUUCUUACAUUUAGUGAUGCAUUGUUGUGAGUUGUGCAUUUUGUGAGUUACUAGUCUUUAUCAAAUUUAAAGGAAAACUAUCCUUCAACGGACCAAAUAGCCAUUUCAACCAUAAACACGUCCUCUACAUCAUACAAACAGCUUGAUACUCAAUUGGCUUUUACUUCUACUACUGAACUACAAAGACAUUACUAGAUCAACUAAGAAGAUAUUCUGCUCAAAUAAUUAGCAGAAUAAAGUUUCUUUAUUGCCAAAUAUAUGUCAUGCUUUUUUUCUCUUUGUAGUUUAUACCAUUAAAGGAAUAUUUUGUGA
Sander lucioperca (pikeperch) is the source of this 934-nucleotide long non-coding RNA. RefSeq lists it as uncharacterized. The record is from RefSeq and is a predicted model, not a curated record. NCBI's taxonomy places the organism in Eukaryota, Metazoa, Chordata, Actinopteri, Perciformes, Percidae. The transcript is spliced from 2 exons.